This 446-nucleotide ribosomal RNA is filed under the name uncultured bacterium. RNAcentral's name for it is "partial 16S ribosomal RNA". It matches the Rfam family "Bacterial small subunit ribosomal RNA", at positions 338 to 795 of the family's 1533-position model. The record is from RNAcentral.
CCUACGGGCGGCUGCAGUCGAGAAUCAUUCACAAUGGGGGAAACCCUGAUGGUGCGACGCCGCGUGGGGGAAUGAAGGUCUUCGGAUUGUAAACCCCUGUCAUGUGGGAGCAAAUUAAAAAGAUAGUACCACAAGAGGAAGAGACGGCUAACUCUGUGCCAGCAGCCGCGGUAAUACAGAGGUCUCAAGCGUUGUUCGGAAUCACUGGGCGUAAAGCGUGCGUAGGCUGUUUCGUAAGUCGUGUGUGAAAGGCGCGGGCUCAACCCGCGGACGGCACAUGAUACUGCGGGACUAGAGUAAGGGAGGGGGAACCGGAAUUCUCGGUGUAGCAGUGAAAUGCGUAGAUAUCGAGAGGAACACUCGUGGCGAAGGCGGGUUCCUGGACAUUAACUGACGCUGAGGCACGAAGGCCAGGGGAGCGAAAGGGAUUAGAUACCCUAGUAGUC